UCUUUCCACACAUGCCGCUGUGUUUAUCAGUCCCAAUGCCACUGUGGACUUUGUUUAUAAUGUUUAUGAGAUACCCUGUGUUCCUCUUGUGUGACAUUGUCUGAUUAGCCUUUUUCUGAAUUUGCAUACUUCCUUUUAAAACUGUACCUAUUGGUAUAUAUUAACAAGAGACUUGCUGUUCAGUUUGGUGCAAAUCUCCAGCCAAUCUGUGCUUAUGGUGAAAGCCAGGACUGGGAAUCACUGUGCUAAGUCCCUUCGGCUCAUUCAGUCCUGCCACUCAGGCCUCACUAGCCUAUCAGAGCCUCCAGCAGACCCGCCAGUAACAUGGGAGGGUUCUUCCGGUUGCCAGGCUUCUGGCUGAGCUUCUCUGCUGAGAGAGUCGGAAGUUUGCCUUCGGGUUGCGCUGUGUACUCUUUUAUGGGGAGAGCGCUGGCGAUCUAAGCAGCCUUGCCAUGGCAAUCAAGAAUCUGGAUAACGAACUGAACUGUCAUGAAACCAAAUUACUUCAGUUCCACCAGUUCCACCAAAAUGGAAGAACUGGAUAAAAUGGUGUGGCCCUGCCUAACAGGACUGUGUUUUCCAUGCUGAAGAUGGACAGCCUGACAACUAUGGCAUGAGCAGUAACUGGGGUGCUCUAGUAGAAAUCUCUGGAGCACAUGGCCAUAAAGCCUCUUUCAACUUUUGAGCAUGAUUUUGUGUGAUUAUAGUUACUUCAUUUCUAAUUUCUCUUUCCUGCCUCCAUGUCCUCCCAUUGACCCUUCACUGUUUUCUAAUCCAUGGCCUCUUUUUGCUUUAACAACAGUUACUGUUUGCAUGUAAACAGUGUUUGUCUGCAGAACCUCUGAGCUGUGAAGCAGAGGGUUGGCUGCACAGGACAUUGAGUGUGUAAUGGAAUGUGCACAGAAAGGACCUUGUGCCUUGGAAGAGGAACAGGAAGUCCUCUGGGAGAAUGGAAGAUUCUACUAAACUACGAAUUUCCCAGAUGAGGGCAGUGUCUGACCCUAGGGUGGAAGGGCAGAGCUGGGAAGGCCUGUGCUGUCUGAGUCAUUUGAACUCUGCUCAUCUAAUAGGGUAACCUCUAGUGUUCCAAGGCCCAGCUGGGUGGUCUUAGCUAAUGAGGGACUCUGGAAGGCUUAGCAGUCAGGAGUACCAGUUGGAGAUAGCUUAUAGGUUCUUUUCAGGUUUCUCCUCUGGUUCUCUUGUAGGGAGUUGUAAGGAAGACCACAAGCCAUGCCAUAGUGAGUAUGGGAGCCACUGUCCCCAGACCAAGAAGAGCAGGUUGGAUGAGCUAUGGGGAUCUGAGCUGCUGGGACUAGGCUAUACCAAGAGCCAGAAUGAGGUCCCAUUGGUCCCUGUGGUGACCUGGCAGUGGCCCUUGUCCUCUAAGCCCCCCUAAGUGUGAAUUCUCUGUGGAGGGGGAGGCUCUGCAGCCCUGGGUAUGAGAGGGUAUGAUGCUUGUAAUAUCACUAUCCAGUGUGCACACAAAAGAAAUUGCUUUUGGUGUGCAGUGGAAAGACAGAUUGGAAAAAUGAAGGCCUGGUUUCUAAAAGUUCUGAACAUUACAUUCCACUUUCAGGUUUCUUAUAAUUGUUACAGAUGGUUUAGAAAAUGGUGGAAAGAGGUGAUGAAGGUCAUCCUUCAGCAAUACAUAAUUAGAAUGCUUUUAACUUUCUGCUACUACCAGCCACCAUGGUGGAAUUCAGCAAAGUUCAGUUUUAGGGGACAAACAAGUUUCUGGAAUACCUCCAGAGGUAUCUCAAUUUUGCAUGGUGUUGGGCAGAUAGAGAAGAUUCCACAUCUUGUGUCAUAAUUCAUGUGGCAGGAAGCAAACAUUAAAUUAUUCUUCUACAUUGUUUUGUGAUUGGGCGUCAGUAGGGCUGUUUGCCUAAAAUGACAGUGGACAAAAAGGGCUGUAGAGCCCUAGAGCUCUAGAGGAGAUCACCUACAUUUGCAGAGAGGGCUCUAGAGCAUGGGGCCUCUCUGGAAGAAAUAUCAGUAGCUGGAGAGUAAGAAACAUAAAAGCCUGAGUCACUUUGAGUUAAUUUUGUAUGAGUUGUGAAGUCCAUGCUUCUUUAAUUUAUAUACAUGUAGAAUCACAGGUAGCAGGGUGACAUUGGUCAAGAUCAUAGUUAUCCUGGCUGACUUUUCUUUGGUCUUUUUAUGAAAAGUUGAUUGUAUUUUCCUACUUUUGAUCUUGGUUUAUUCUCUCCAUCCCCUUUAUUCUUUCACAAAUAUUGUACACAUUUUUUUAUUAUUGUAGCUUUGUAGUAAAUAUAGAAGUCACAUUGUGUCAAUCUCUACUGUUUUUUCAUAAUCCCAUUGAGCAUUCUAACGCUCAUGAGUAGGAAGGUAGAUAUGCAUAGUUAGUAUAGAAAAAGUUAUAUUUUAUUAUGUUGGUGGUCAUCACACAAGGUUCAUACUCGCUAAUUUCCUAACUAUGGUCCCUAAACCUAUUUCUCUAAGGUUGCUCACCUGUAUCUCAGCUGAAGGUGAAAUCCAGUCUUUAACAGAAGGUCAGGAUCCUGGGGGGGGGGUGCUCUGGCCACAGGGCUAAACAAAGUGAUGUCUCUCUAAAUGUGCAUUGCUCUUGGUAUCUACUUAUAGACUGUUCAGUGGGUGUCAUGAGGUUGUAGACUUUGUCUGAUUAUCUGGAAUGAGUUAUCACUGAUUUCUGGUUAUUAGGUAUAGACUUGGGUGUAGUCGGGUUCCUGACUAAGCUAAUUUUUUAUAUCGAAGAGGCUUUAAAAAAAAAAAAACUAUGCUCAUUACAUCACAUCUCCUUGAGGUAUACACACUGCUUAUGAGGGCCACAUAUAAAAAUUAUUAGCAA
Peromyscus maniculatus bairdii (prairie deer mouse) is the source of this 2830-nucleotide non-coding RNA. The record is from RefSeq and is a predicted model, not a curated record. Lineage: Eukaryota; Metazoa; Chordata; Mammalia; Rodentia; Cricetidae.